Molecule: long non-coding RNA, 37170 nt
Filed under: Prunus persica (peach)
Lineage: Eukaryota; Viridiplantae; Streptophyta; Magnoliopsida; Rosales; Rosaceae
Description: long non-coding RNA (PPER_LNC007569)
Source: RNAcentral
AAAAAAAAAAAAUCACUUACAUCGAUAAAUGAGACCAAAUAAAUAAAACACAAAUUUGUUAAUAAACAAUAAAAUGGUCAAGGCAAUAAUAAAAUGCCCAGACGGUUUCAGAUUUUACAAACAUGAUAUUAGAAUGAGGAGCAAAAAAUGUUUCAACACACAAGCAAUGUCGCAGUCGCCUUUCAAUUAACCAAAACGUGCGCCAACUCCAUGACUAAAUCAACGGUAGGUAAUUGUGAUUUUAGAAGCUGUAGAACACCACAUUAAUUUAGAUGGGGACGACAGACUUUCAUGACAUAAAAUAUUAGAAUUGCAUAGCCAAGCAGGCAAUCCUGUAAACAAUGAUAUUUGGGUUUCGGAAAAAGGCAAAGUCAUUUGUGUAACAGAAACAAUUUGCUAGAACAAAGGAAUUUCUAACAGUCUUGAACAUGAGCAAAAUUCAGUCAGUUCCUUCUCAAAGGUGCCCUUAAACAUUUCAGACAAGUAAAUGAUAAAGAUCCUUACCAUAGGUCUAUUGGCAAGGCCAUAACUGGCCUUGUAUACAAACUAGUUGUCCACAAUGGUAGAACCAAUUUGAAUAUAGGAAAGGUUGAAAGAUGAGCCAAAUGAAUCAAGUGAUGAUUUCAGCUGGCAGUGGAAGCUCCUCCAAUGUGCAAGAAAUUUCAGUGAUUUGAAAUUGUAUUUUGAGCACAUCAAAUGGAAAUUGAGAUCUCAAUUUGUCAAUACGUAACAGAUUGAGACAAAGCUGUCUUUGUGUGAAGAUGGAAAGACUGGUCCAAGUAUAGGAGGUGUUGAAGUGAUGACUUUGGUAGCCCAAAUAAAAUACCGUUUCAGAGCAGCGAUUUUGGAAUUGAUGACUCUAGUUUCCAACCCCCAUCUCCGCUAUUGGGGGUUGAUGAUUUUUUCAACCCUCAUGGAGAUAGCACCACUGACUCCUUCUCUCAUUCUCAACCAACUAUAGUCGAGUUGAGUGCCCAAGUAGGAAAUUCCUGAUUUCCUACUGUAAAUAUAAAUAUGAAUUUAUUAUUUACUUGCUCAUUAAAGUUCUGUGUAUUAUAAAUAGCCCAAAAUAUAAAUAAUAAAAAAACCAUAUAUGAAAUGGACUUUAGAAACACAAACAAAACUCAUUUACAACAUAACAAAAAGACUUUUGACUUCUUUUAAAUUACAAAACUGUCAUUGAUUUCUUAAAACAAACCAAAUCUCAAAACCUCACAAAAAAACCCAAAACACUCAAUAGGGCAUCAAAGUAAUUUAAUAAUCAAAAUUAAAUUCAAUAGGGUCAGCUGUCAAUUUUUGGGUUUUUUUUUAUAUAAACUAAAUGGUGUAGGGUUUAUUUAUAGUUUUAGUUGCUAAGAAUGGAUAUAUAACUAAAUAUCUCUUAUAAAUAUGAUCUCGUAUAAAAGAGAAAGAUACACAAAAAAUUCCCACAAACAAAUAUUCUAUCAUAAUUCUCAUAUUUUAGCAUUGUCUAAAAACUCUAGACCAACAGCAACAUAGCUGCUCCUGAAGGAGUCAAAUGUCUUGCAGAAAUGGAAGUGGAUGGUGAUCUGUGGCGGAUCUACGUACGGUCCCUCUCUCUCUUUUUUUAUAUUCUUUUUCUUUUCCUUCUCUCUCCAACUCUCCACUCUUUUUUGUUUUUGUUUUUUUUGUUUUUGUUUUUUGUUUUUAUUUUUAUUUUUUUUCAUAUUUGUUUUUCUUCCGCUCUCCACUCCAGUCCAUCUCUCAAAUUCUCAAGUGAUCAGUGGCAGGUGCUAUUUUAUAAUUUCACGAAGAAGAGAACAAAGAGGUCCAAUUGAAGAUGGGACACCGCCCAUUAAAAAAACAGCUGUAAACAUGAAAGCAAGAGCUAAUUGACAAAAAUGAAAAUUUCUUGCAUUAUUACGGAGAGAGCCUAAAGUGGUCAGUCCUCAAAACAAAAAGGGACAAAGUAAUUGAAAGUUGCGACACGUACAUUAUGACAACAAAGGUAAAGUGAAUCCCUUUUCUUUUCUUUUUUCCUUUUUCGGUUACCCAAAUGAACUGCUUCCCUUCUCUCUUUUUUUUGGGCACAAAGCAGGGCCAAGAGCCUAAAACCAAACAAUUACGUAGGGAUUAACCUGGGACUAGGGGUACUGCUAAUAUCAGCAGCAAUAAUAUCAUUAAGGAAGGGGGGCUCCAACUCCAAAACAUGAAGGCCUAAAGGGAAUUCAUAGCUCGUGGCAGCUAACGCAUCAGCAGCCUUAUUUUGUUCACGGUAGACAUGGGAUAGGGAGCAUGACCAAUCACCAUGCAGCUGUAAAUUACAGCAGUUGAGAAGACUAAGGUAGCGUAUGGUAGUGUUUAAUUUUUUUUUUUAAAGCAGCUUUAAUGAAAAAAUUGUCGUGGGUUGGGUAUUUGGUAAACAUCAGGAAUCCUGCUUGUUUUUUUAAUUGCGGUUAAUGACUGCUGUUUCUUCAAAGCUCUCUCCAUCCAGGUUCUAAAAGCUGCUUCAAAAAAAUAAUAAUAAUAAUAAUCAAUGGUUUUAAUGAAUUUUUUACUUUCUCAUAAUGCCCUCAUUUAUUUUUUACAUGGACACUCCUUAUCCCUCCAAUUACACAACUCCCAUCUGCAAAAUCCUUCAUUCUCCUCUUCUUCUUUUUCUUCUUUUUCUUCUUUUUCUUCUUUUUUUUUUUUGGUGAAAAAGGAAAUUAUUGAUAACAAUUAAGAGGACACAAUAAUAUCAUAUUUUACAAUUGACGCCAGCCAGAAGGGAACCUUGUAAAGAAUGUUUAGUUGAAAGGUUUUGUUGUAUUGUCAAUAGUAGAGUACAGCAAAAUAUAUACUACCAAUAUUACAGAAUCUCCGUAGCGUGAUCCCCAAUCCUAGGAAUUGAUUUGGAUCUGUCCACCUAUAUCAAGUAACUACUCUAUGUAUGGUUAUAAUUAACAUAUUACAAUAAUAACAUAUCAAUUACAAUAUAUUAUUCUAAUACUCCCCCUCAAGUUGGAGAGUGAAUGUCAUGAAGUCCCAACUUGCUGCUUAAUAUGGUAUAGUCGUUCUUUCCCAAAGGCUUCGUAAAAAUGUCUACUAACUGAGCGUGGGAAGGAACAUAUGAAGGAGUGAUUAGUCCGGCAAGCAGCUUUUCUUGAACAAUGUGACAAUCAAUCUCAAUAUGUUUGGUGCGCUCGUGGAAUACAGGGUUAGCAGCAAUAUAUAAAGCAGCCUGAUUGUCACAGUAUAAUGGAGCCGGGUUAACCUGAGGGACUCUCAGAUCAUGUAGUAUGUAUCGUAGCCAAGUGAAUUCCAAACAAGCGUUAGCCAUGGCUCGGUACUCUGCUUUUGCGGAUGAAUUAGAAACAUGUUGUUGCUUUUUGGAUUUCCAUGAGAUGAGAGAAUUUCCCAGAAAAAUACAAAAACCUGUGACAGAUUGUCUUGUGGUACGGCAUCCGGCAUGGUCUGAAUCACAAUAAGCUCUCAAAGCAAGAUUGUUUGAUGCAGGAAAUAAUAAGCCUUGACCUGGAGAAUUUUUGAUGAAUCUGAGAACACAGAGUGCUGCAUCCCAAUGUGGUUUUCUAGGCUCAUGCAUAAAUUGACUCAAUGUUCGAACUGAAUAUACUAUGUCGGGCCUUGUUACAGUGAGGUAGAUCAAGUGUCCCACUAACCGUCAGUAUUUCAUAGGAUCAUUGAGUAAAGCUCCAUCUGUGGGUGUGAGUCUGAGAUUUUGCUCCAUUGGAAACUUAUCUAGGCGAGAGCCUAAGAGACCGGCAUCUUGUAAUAUGUCCAAAGCGUAUUUCCUUUGAGACAUGUAAAUACCUUUCUUGGAACGAGAGAACUCAAUACCAAGAAAUAUUUUAAAUCACCAAGGUCCUUGAUGCGAAAAUGCUUGAUGAGAAAAGAUUUGAGAUGCUCCAUUUCUUGCAAAUCAUUCCCUGUGAGAAGUAUGUCAUCCAUAUAAAUAAGAAUUGCUGUAAAAGAAUUAUUUCGAACCUUGGUGAACAAUGAGUAAUCGGAUUUUGACUGCUGAAAGCCUGCCUGUUAAAUAGCACCAAAAAAUUUGGAAAACCAGUUCCUGGAAGCCUGUUUAAGUCCAUAAAGGGAUUUAUUGAGCCGACAUACAGUAUUCUCCCCCUGUCGGACAAGUCCGGGAGGAGGGUCCAUGUACACGACUUCGUGCAAAUCGCCAUGGAGGAAGACAUUCUGAACAUCUAAUUGAUGGAUGAACCAAUUACGAGUAGCCGCAACAGUGAGAAGACAACGCAAUGUGGUGAGUUUGACUGUAGGAGAUAAUGUUUCCUGGUAAUCAAUGCCUUCCACCUGUGUGUAGCCCUUGGCCACAAGACGGGAUUUGUAACGAUCAAUGGUGCCAUCAGAUUUAUAUUUGAGUUUGAAAACCCAUUUACAACCAAUGGGUUUGUGUCUAGGUGGCAAUGGGACAAGAGUCCAUGUAUUGUUUUGUGCCAAAGCAUCUAAUUCUGUUUGCAUGGCCUGCUGCCAAUUGGGAUCAAGGAUGACUUGAGCAUAACUAGUGGGUUCAGUGGUGCCUGAAAUGUUAGCUAAAAAGGAAUGAUGGGGUGAUGAAAUGCGAGAAUAAGACAAGAAAUGAGAAAGUGGGUAUUUUGUACCUGUAACAGUAGAUGGCGAUCAGGCAGAUGAAGAGGCAUGGUUGGACAUGUGAUAAUGUUGGUGCCAUGCGGGAGCCUGCCUUGGACGAGUGGAAUGACGUGUUGGAGCCAUGGGAGAUGAAUGAGGUGAGCUAAGUAAUGUUGGUUCAGAUGGAAAAUGAAGAAGUGGCAAGGUGUGGUCAGAUGAAUGGGAGAUAGGUGAAGUGUUGGGGACCACUUGACUGGUUGUGGCGGGGUGGGGUUGUGGAGAGGAAGGAGUGAUGCUGGUAGGAAGCAGGUUGAGGUGGGAUAGUGGAGAAAGGAAAAAUAUGUUCAUGGAACUGAACAUCUCUAUUAACGAAAAAUUUGGAGGUGUGCAGAUCAAAAAGUUUAUAGCCCUUUUGUCCCAUGGGAUAGCCAACAAAAAUACAAGGUGUGGCACGGGCAUCGAAUUUUUGUAGGGGAUGAGUCACAGUAGCAUAACAAAGGCACCCAAAAACUCUAAGAUGGUUAAGGGUUGGUGGCUGGUGAUAGAACAACUCAAAGGGGACUUAUUGGACAAUAAUGGAGUGGGCAAACGAUUGAUGAGAUAGAGAGCAGUUAAAACACACUCCCCCCAAAAAUUGAGAGGUAAAUUGGCUUGGAAACGUAGAGCGCGGGCAACAUUGAGAAUGUGACGAUGUUUGCGCUUAACAACUCCAUUUUGUUGUGGAGUGUGAACACAGGAUCGUUGAUGUGCAAUUCCAUUGGUUUGCAAAAACUCUUUCAUGGAUAAAAAUUCUGAACCAUUGUCAGUGCGAAUGACUUUAACAUUGAAAUUGAAUUGAGUUUUGACAAAAGUAAGAAAAGAUUUUAGAAGAGUUUGUGUUUCAGAUUUGUGAACCAUCAAGAAAAGCCAAGUGCAUCGAGUAAAGUCAUCAACAAUUGUAAGAAAAAAAACAAGCUCCCGAAUGAGAGGCUAUUUUAUGUGGACCCCAAAUGUCACAAUGUAAUAAGUCAAAUGCUGAACGCAAUGAAAUAGAACUUAAUGGAAAAGGAAUUCUUGUUUUUUUAGCCAUAGGACAAAUGCCACAAUUAUUGUCAACAGAAACAAUUUUUGAAGGAAGCAAUGAAGAAAGUAAUUGAAAAUGAGCAGGUGAAGGGUGUCUGAGACGAAGGUGCCAUAAAUUGGAGGUUUGUGACACUUGACCGGAAACAGGUAUCCUUGGCAAAGGCGACAUGUAAUAUAGACCACCACGUUGUUUACCCAUACCAAUCAUCUUCCCGAUAGCCAAGUCCUGUAAGACACAAAAUGUGGGAAACAAAAAAACACAACAAUUGAGUGAGUCGGUAAUUUUACUGGCUGACAUUAAAUUCAAAUGAAAGGAAGGAACACACAAAACAUUAUCUAAGGUGAUGGUGUUAUUGAAAGGAAUUGUGCCAACUGAAGUAAUUGGUGCGGAAGAACCGGUGGGUAAGUUAACAAUGGGAGUGUGAGAUGGUUGCGUUUUUGUGAAAAGUUUAGAAUCAGAUGUAAUAUGAUGUAACACCCCGAUUCCCAAUUAAGUGUCUAUUUUAAUUGAUUUAAAUGAAUUACGAAUUUACCCUUGGGGUAGGGGUAAAUUGGUCAUUUUCUUAUCCGGAAGGAUUUUGGGACCACGAAUGGUAUUUUUGGGUAGGUGGUACUGAGACGAAUUCGUAGACAUGCGGUAGGCUUGAAACGGAGUUAUAACGAAGAUUUGGCGAUCAAAACAUUAUCAGUGGCAAAACUGUAAAUAUUUCAAAAAGUUUGGUAAAAAUCAGAUUUUUUCACCUAAGCUCUCUCUCUCCUCGCACGCGCUCGACACUCUCUCUCUCUCCUCAGUCUCUCUCUCUCCCCGACACCGACCUUCUCUCUCUUCGUCUCUCUCGGCUCCGGCCACGGCAGGACACGGGACCGAUCCCUUUAGCUUCACCUCGACGUCCCGGUCAAGACCUGCUAGUUUUUCCCGUCGGAAAUCACAAACUCCGGCCACGAGCUUGACUGGUUUGAACGGGAGCUUUCCCAUCGUCGCGCCGCCGACUCCGCCGCCCAAACCCGGUGAGUGAGGUAUGGUUUCUCAUCCAUUUUUCGAGUUCUAGUUGAUUGUUGUAUAGGUUUGGACCGAUUUGUUGUCUAGAAAAUCGAUUAUAAAACCUAGGUUUUGGCCGGAUUUCAAAAUGAAAUUUCGGCCAGUUGCAACCCGGCGCGUGUGGCGGCGCGUGUGGCGGCAUGUGGGUGAGGCUGGUGAAGCUGCAAUUUAACCCGAUGAGAUCCUUAGGCUGUCACGAGCGCUUAGGAAUUCGCGGAUCUCAAUUCGGACAUCGUUUGACUAUCGAACGGAUUUUCGCAUAUUGUGCGUUAUCCGAGUUCGAUAGGUUCCGACGGUUAGAUCUUUUCUGAAUUAAAAUAUGUUGUUCUAGGUAUUCCUAGGACCGUAUGGGACUUCACGGAUUAUGAAUCGGAGCCCCGGAUGUUCCGAUUCAAUAAUGCAAAGUUUGCGAGUUAGCGAUAACCAUAAAAUCGUGAACGAUUCCUAAACCUGUAAUCGGACCUUAGGAUACCUUCUUCAACAUGCACGUACUGGGAAUUUGGGGAUUUAAGCAUUUUAAUUUGUGAUUUCCGCUUCGACGUAAUUUUAUAUUAAUGAAAGGUUCGUAUCUCGAAAUAGGUGUUUCGAUUGCACGUACUCAGCAGGCAGGACCCUCACGUGGUCAAGCAGCGUGUGAAUAUUUGUGAGUGGACUUUGUUUUCAAUCAUAUGCAUGGUUUUAUUGAUGAAAGAUUUAUGCAUAAUGUUUUAAUGGCUUAUUGAAUAUAUUAUAUUCAUGAGAUGAAUUUGAAUGUUAUAUAGCGCUUUGGCAAUAUAUUGUGAGUUUGGCAUUUUAGGUAUUGAGAGUGUAUUUUUAUAAGGAUUUUGGGGAAGUAUAUAUAUAUAUUCUCUAUAGGCGCGAUACUUGGGUUGUUGAAAUGUAUUGUGAAAGAACUUGAUUCUGAGGGUUUGUUGAGAGAAGUUAUAUGAUUACACUAUGUAAGUACCUUCCCCAGUUAUUAGACUUUCCACAUGCGGCGUUGGAUGUUCCGGCGUGUGAGACACUUUCCAUAUGCGGCGUUGGAUGUUCCGGCGUAUGGAAAGACUCUGUAUAGUGUUUAAGGUCAUCACCCAUGGCGUUGGAUGUUCCGAUGUGUGAUGAUCCAGUCUGCGCAUGUAGGACAUAGUUUGGGCGCUACACAUGGCGUUGGAUGUUCCGGUGUGUGAGCUUUGGAGUUUCAUCCCCCGGUUCAACUGCUCAUCUCUAGACGCAGUAUAGCACUUAGAAUCCUGCGGACUAGUCAAACGAUCCCCCAGUUGGAUUGUUUCCCCGGUACCUAGGUAGUGUGAUGAGUUAUCGUAUAGCUACUUAUAGUUAUAUUUAUAUAUAUAUACAGUCCCAUUCUAUUGAGGGAUCCCUCAAAUAAUUUUAUUUGAGGGACGCCAUUUAGGGUACCCUACCAUUUUUUUCUCAAUGAUCCAAACCAUCUAUUUUUUAGGUCUUCAUUCAUAGAUCAUCCUUACAAAAAAUUAGACAAAUCGGAAACCGUUUCGACAUCCAAUUGUGUCCUACAAAAUCAAUAAACACGGUACUUCAAGAAAGUACUAAAAUUUUCAAUAACUCAAUAGAAUGGUCAUAUGAUAUCGGAUUCAAGUGAUUUUUUGUAGAGAUGAUCUUUGAAUAUGUAUAUACAAAAUAGAUGGUUUGGAUUAGUGGAAUACAAUCCGGAGUGGGCCCUACAAGGGGUGUCCCUCAAAGAAGCUUAUUUGAGGGAUCCCUCAAUAGAAGCUCUCUGUAUAUAUAUAUAUAUAUGUAUAUUUGUAUGUAUAUGUAUAGUUGAGUGAGUGAAGAAUUAGAGUUUUUUUCAGUGUUUGGCAGGAGUUGCAAGGUUGAGAGAAUGGGGUUUACAAAGGAGAUGACUUGUGUUUUGAAGAGUUUUAACUGAAUUAUGUUUUGAGUAAUUAAAUAUUGGAUUGUGAACCUGCAUGACUUGAGCAUUAUUUUUACACGGUGGGGUUACUAUAUUGUUUUUAACUGCAAAUCUGGUUUUUGUCCACUCACAUGUUUUCUGUUUUGCUCCCCCCAGCCAGUAGUCGCUCCAGGAAGCGUGCAAGUGGUGUACGAGGCUCGAAAUGUGAACCUUCCUAGUUAGGAUUUGAGUAAUUUCUUCUACUCAACUGUUCUUGUAAUCUAAAUUCAAUAGAUGCUCUGUUAUCGCCCAUGGUAGAUUUUACUUGUGAGGCCGGAUGCCAUUUUAGUAUGACUUGUUGAAUUAUGAAAGCAUGCUGCUGGAUGGGGUUUUUAUUUUAUGUAUGUUGCAGGUUGAAUUUUUUUGUUGGGUUUGCUUAAAUUACAGGGGAGACUCUGCCAAAAUUUUGGUAGAAAGUCUCGUUUUCUUAGUAAGUGGGCCCGGCAUCGGGAAGAUGUCGGAACAAAAACGGGGUCCGCUUCGAUUUUCGGGAAAUUCCAGAGCAGGUCCUGUCAUAUGAUCUAUAGCCCCGCUAUCCAAAAUCCAAGGUUUGCUAGAAACAGAAUUAAUUGAAGGGACAGUAAAGGUGGACAGACCUGCUGGUUAUUACCAGAGGAUGAUGCAUUGGUGUUGACUAGUGACAUGGCUGUGGCCAAUUGUUGAUAUUGCUCAGAAGUAAGUCCACUCAAGAAGGUCUGAGCAGAAAAGUCUGGAGCUUGAAUUGGGUUUUGUGAAGGCUGUGUGACACUUGAAGAGCCAGCUUGCUGUGCCGCGUGUGAGGAUGGGAAGGAUGAGCCCGCAUGUGGAACAAACCCAUGUGAUUGCUGCGUGAAGGUGCGUGUGUUACUACCGGAGAAACCAGAAUUUCUGCGUGAGUUGGUACCUCGAUUGGACCCUUGGUUUUCAUUCCUGGCAUGAUUUCCUUGUCCAUUUGAUGUGUAGGUUCCAUCCUUGAAAUGGCAAGUGUCUUCUGUAUGUCCGUUUCGAUUACAAAAAUUGCAAUGGAAUUUAAUUGCCUGCAAUCUGCAGUUACAUGACCAUUGCGAUCACAAUGAUCACAAUGUUUAUUUUUGGAAUUGUUUGGACGGCUUUGGAUAGCUACAGCAAUAGAAAAGUUCUCGGUUGUUCCCGAUGUCAUCUGUCGUUGUGUUUCGUCUUGAAUGACAAGUGAAUAAGCUUGACUGACUUUGGGCAAUGGUGUUAUCAUGAGGAUGUUGCUGCGAACGCCAUUGAAUGUGUCAUUAAGGCCCAUGAGAAAUUGCAUCAUCUUAUCUUCUUCUCUUUCUUCGUUGUGUGCUUUCAUCUCAUUGCAAGUGAGAGGAGUUCUGUAUGUCUCUAAUUCGUCCCAAAGGCCUUUGAGUUUUGUGAAAUAGGCUGAGACUGUCGUGGUGCCCUGUGUGAGAGAGGCGAUGGACUUCUGAAUCUAAUAAAUUGUUGGCGCAUUUUUUUGUGAGAAUUGGUCUUUGAAAUUGUCCCAUACUUGAUGAGCGGUCUUGGCAUGGACAACCCCUUUGGCUAGAUCGAGUUCCACAAAGUGAGCAAGCCAUGAUAAAAUCAUAUUGUUGCAUUGAUUCAAAAGAGCAUAUUCUGUGGGGUUUUCUGUUUCUGAUGGUGGCUUAAUGGAUCCAUUGACAAAGCCAAUUUUGUUCUUGGUUGUGAGAGCAUGAAUCAUGGAUUUACUCCAAGAUGGAUAAUUGGCGCCGUUCAAUUUUGUUGGAACGAGCAUAUGACCAGGGUGGUCUGAAGAAUGAACAUAGUAUCAAUUUGAUGUAUCCAUACCAGAAUUGCUGUUGCUAUUGCUUGAAUUUUUAGAAUUGCAUUUCAAAUUUUCUGGUGUUUGUUCUUUGUCUGACAUGGUGGUUGCAGGUUUGCUAGAGGGUUUUGAAAAGGUUAGGAAAUCUAGCACCAGGACGCAGCUCUGAUACCAUGUAAAGAAUGUUUAGUUGAAAGGUUUUGUUGUAUUGUCAAUAGUAGAGUACAGCAAAAUAUAUACUACCAAUAUUACAGAAUCUCCGUAGCGUGAUCCCCAAUCCUAGGGAUUGAUUUGGAUCUGUCUACCUAUAUCAAGUAACUACUCUACCUAUAUCAAGUAACUACUCUAUGUAUGGUUAUAAUUAACAUAUAACAAUAAUAACAUAUCAAUUACAAUAUAUUAUUCUAAUAAACCUCUUCAAUCCAAGUUACUAUAGUAUUACAAUUAAGUGCAUGCCUUGCUAGAAAAUGAACUACUUGAUUGCACCCCCUUUGACUGAAAGAGAUAGUAACAUUAUCAAAUUGUUGCAGAUUCCUCUUAAUGUCAUCAAUGAGAUGCCCAUCUGAUGCCCACAACUCUUCCUCAUCCUUCUUUACAUCAUUCACCACUCCUUGUGAAUCAGACUCAAUUAGAAUAGAAGAAAAGCUAGCAUCCCGAGUAAAUUUAAUCCCGAAAUGAAGUGCCAUGAUCUCUGCAUAUUUAGGUGAGGUGGCGGUGGCAAGAGGAAGGGCCAUAGCCGCCAUCACUUCCCCUUUGUCAUUUCUAACAACAUCACCAAUUCCACCCACACAUGUUUCGGGAAUAUAAGCAGUAUCAAUAUUCAGUUUAUAUUUACCAACGGGAGGAGGAGACCAUUUGGUUGGUUUCUCAACAUUUAUUUUAGGUUCAACUUUCACAAGAUUUCCAUAUUUAUCAACCAAGUAAAUAGCUCUUUUGAAAAUCGCCUCAUGUGCACAAGAACGAUGUCACAUCCCGGGAUCGACUCCCUGUAUAUUGUCCGCUUUGGGCCCCCCCUCUCUGGCCCUCACGGUUUUGUUUUUGGGAGCUCACGACUAACUUCCCAGUGGGUCACCCAUCCUGGGAUUGCUCUGGCCCCCAACUCGCUUAACUUCGGAGUUCCUACGACUCCGAAGCCAGUGAGCUCCCAAAAGGCCUCGUGCUAGAUGGAUGCAGGUGUGCACAAAUAAGCCACAUCACCCCCUCUCCGUUGGUUGAUGUGGGAUCUUACAAUCCACCCCCUUAAGGGCCCAACGUCCUCGUCGGCACACUCGCACCACACGGCAGAGUGGCUCUGAUACCAAAUUGUCACAUCCCGGGAUCGACUCCGCUGUAGCACGGUAUUGUCCGCUUUGGGCCCCCCCUCUCUGACCCUCACGGUUUUUUUUUGGGAGCUCACGACCAACUUCCCAGUGGGUCACCCAUCUUGGGAUUGCUCUGGCCCUCAACUCGCUUAACUUCGGAGCUCCUACGACUCCGAAGCCAGUGAGCUCCCAAAAGGCCUCGUGCUAGAUGGAUGCGGGUGUGCACAAAUAAGGCAUAUCACCCCCUCUCCGUUGGUUGAUGUGGGAUCUUACAAACGACCUUCAACAACUACUUUAUUUCUAUUUUUCCAGAAGCUCCAGCAUAUGUAUAAAAGCAAGCGCAUUUCAUACUUCGAAAGAUAAAUAGUGGCAACUUCAAAUAAAUCCCCAUAGUUAGAAAAGUGCACCCCUGUAAAAACCUCCCUGAACUGCACUUUUUUCCAAACUUUUUGGGCACUAGGACAACUCCACAAUGCAUGAAUUACACUCUCAGAAUUCACAUUACAAAUGGGCAGGAGUCAUCAGAGAUUACUUUGCUUUUAAGUAGAUUAGAUUUACAAGGAAGAUAAUUUUUAAUAGCUCACCAAUUAAAAUAUAAGAGUUUUUGUGGUACCUCUUGGGACCAAACUUUUCUCCAGAAAGCACUUCGUAUUCUUGGUUCCGAAGAGGAUCAACAACCCCACUGCACUCCUUUUUUUCUGACAUCUCCAGCCUAUAUCCACUUUUCACAAAAUAAAUUCCAUUAGUCGUAUAAUGCCAAAACCAUCUAUCCUUGUGAUAAUUAACACUCAAAUGGAUAAAGGUAAUGGCCUUAACAUCUUCCGCAUGAAAAAACAAAUUUAGUAAAUCAACAUUCCAAUUCCUAAUAAGAAAAAUAAAAGCACUUACUUUAGUUUCUUGAUCCAACACUUGAGGGGAAAUAGGCGGAAAGAAUUAGGUCUAAGAAUCCAAGCAUCUCCAUAGACUAGAGUUUCUUGUCCAUCUCCAAUCCUUUUCCUUGACCCACUCAAGAGCAACUCACGACCCCAAAUCAAAGACCUCCAAACAUAUGAAGAAGCUCUUCCUUUACCAGCUGCCAAGAAAUUACAGUUUGGAAAAUAUCGAGCUUUUAACACAAUCAUGGACUGUUCAUUGGUAAUAAGUCUCCAACAUUGCUUAGCCACGAGAGUUUUGUUAAAUAACUCCAGAUCUCUAAACCCCAUUCCACCUUCAUCCUUUGCAAAACACAGAUGCUCCCACUUUGCCCAGCUAAUACCUUUGCAAUACUCUGAAUUCUUCCAUCAAAAUUUAGAGAUCAUUGAAUUCAAUUCUGCUCAAAAUGUUAUAGGAAGUUUAAAGACUCCCAUAGCAUAAUUUGGAAUGCUCUAAGCCACCGCUUUGAUAAGGAGAGCCUUUCCUGAUUUUGAAAGCAAUUUCUCUUUCCAUCCAUUAAGCUUCUUUCUCAAUCUUUCUUUUAUUCCGUUAAAACAAUCCUUCUUUUUCCUGCCAAUCACAGCUGGCAAUCCCAAAUAUUUCUCACGAAACUCAACAAUUGGGAUCUUUAGAAUGCUGCUCACCUCAUUCCUUAAAUGCAUAGGAGUGUUCGGACUGAAAGCAAUUGCUGACUUCUCCAAAUUUAUUUUUUGCCCUGCUGCUGCCUCAAAAAUCUCAAACACAGUUGUUGCUUCAAGAAAGAUUAGGCUGUCAUCUGCAAAAAAACAAACUGAGAAAUUCCCCUUGCAACUUCAAUCCCUUUUAUUUCACCAGAAAGCUCUGGCUGUUUAAGAAGCAAAGAAAAACCCUCUGCACAAAUGAGAAAAAGAUAGAGAGAUAAGGGAUCUCCUUGUCUAAUCCCCCUUUGUGGGAUAAUAUUAACUUCAACAACUCCAUGCCUUAUCAAAGAAUAUGAAACAGUAGAUAUACACUCAAAGACCAGCUUAAUAAAGUCACCAGGGAAACCCAAUUUCUCCAUCAUUUUACAAAUGAAAUAGCAAUCAACUCUAUCAUACACUUUUGCCAUGUCUAACUUCAAUGCAAUCUUUGGAACUUUUCCCCCCUUCUACUUCUCAUGGUAUGUAUUGUUUCAAAAGCCAGAAUGAUAUUAUCUAAAAUUUGCCUCUUUGGAACAAAAGCACUCUGGCUUUCAGAUAUAACCAUUGGGAGCACACCCUUUAAUCUGUUGGCUAUGGCUUUAGAAAUAAUUUUAUAGAUCAUAUUGCAAAGAGAUAUUGGCCUGUACUGAGUCACAAAUUUCGGCUUUUCAACUUUGGGGAUGAGAGCUAUCAAAGUCUUGUUCAGGCUUCUCACACUUUCCUAGCCAUUGAGAAUUUUUAGACAUACCUCAACAACUUCGUCCCCAAGAAUGUGCCAAUACUUCUUGAAAAAAACAAGGGCAUUCCAUCAAUUCCAGGAGCCUUUGAAGGAGGCAUUUGCUUUAGAGCAAACUCUAUCUCAUCUCUGCUGUAAGGCUGAAUAAGAAAAUGCUUCAUUUGAUCAGGCACUUUUGGACUAACCAUGUUAAUGAUCACCUGUUUUCGCAAAGAUAGACUGAAAAUAGAUAGUGAAAUUUUUUGUUACCAAUCUCCUGUCCGUACACCAUUUCCCUUUUGAAUUAUACACCCCAGCUAUGAAAUUACUCUUUGUUCUCUCCCUUGCCUUUUCAGGGAAAUAACUAGUAUUUUUAUUACCUUCUUUUAGCCAUUCCACCCUUGGACGUUGUUGCCACAUAAUUUCUUGUUUUUCCAGCAGGUCUUCAAUCUUUCUUUCAAAAAAAUCCUUCCUCUGACUUUGUUGUUUCGAAGGGUUAAUGCAUUGCCAAAGAUCCAGUUCUUCUUUGCACUCCUUUAAUUGAGUCCUAACACUAUCAAAGACAUCUUUUUCCCACUUUUUAAAAGAAAUAGCAUACCUUUUGAGCUUUCUUUCACGGAAAUGUGUUCAUCUACAUUAUGCUCCCAAGCAUCCUUCACAACAUCUUCAAAUUCCUCUUCUUUCAACCACAUCUUUUCAAAAUGAAAUCUGCAUUUUCUUGCUGAAAUUAUAGCAUCAUUAAUAUUUUGGGAAAUAAGAGUUAAAAGAAUUGGCUUGUGAUAAAAAACAGUACUGUCGAUCAAGUCUUUCCCACAUAACACUCCCAUUACCAUUCUUCCUACUCCAAGUGAAAGGAAAGCCUUCAAAACCGAUAUCACUCAAGUUACAGUCCUCUAGAGACUAUUGGAAGUUUUCCAUUUGGUACAUUGGUCUCCUUCUAACCCCAUUUGAAUAUCUUUCUGAAAGUAGCUCAUUAAAAUCACCCAAGCAUACCCAAGGGCUUGUACAAGAACCUGACAAUCUUCUAAGUAAUUCCUAAGAGAAAACUCUUAAGAAUGUUUUAGGGUUGCCAUAAAACCCAGUCACUCUGAAUGGUUGAUGGGAUGAGUAUUCACCCAGCAGUCUAUAUGGCCAGUUGAUGCAAACAACACACUCACUUGUACUUCUUUCCUCCACAACAUUGCAAGACCCCUACCCUUUCCAGUUCUCUCUACUUCAAAAUAAUUAUAGUUUCCCCAUUUCAUCGCCUUUUCUUUCAAUUGCACACUAGUACAUUCAGUCUCCAUAAGGAAAAUUACAUGGGGAUUUUUCUCUCUCAAUAAAUCAUUGAGAGCUCUGAAUGUCCGAGGAUUCCCCAAACCUCAGAUAUUCCAACUUAAGAUAUUCAUUUCUCGUGGUGGGCCAACAUCUCUGAGCCCACCACGGAUUCAGACAUGGCAAUCUCAUUGUUUUUUCCCUCAUCAACUUUGUUGUGCUUUUGAAGCUUCCCCUUCCAUAACUGGUUCCCCACUCCGUUUCUCACCAAUUAGCAUACUAGGAGUUAUUUGAUCAUGGGAGGAUUUACUUGAACCACCCUCUCUUGCUAAACUUUUCCAGCUUUUCCCUAUUUUGGCCUGCACACCCUUUAGCUCUUUGCCGGCCUAAUUGUCUCUCUAUGAAUCAAGACCAAACCCAGACUGAAUUACCACCUCAAAAUUGCCAAAUAAAGCUUUAUCAGCUUCAGAGUGGGAUAUGGCACAAAUAUCUUGUUUUUUCUCUCCCGCUUGACAAUUUGGUUCAACGCUUCUUGUGGAAACAGAGGAGGUUGAACAGCCCCCCUCACUAAUCUUCUUUGCCUCCAUUAGAGCAAUGUUUCCAUUUUCCUCCUUGUUUUUCCAAUUUCUAUCCCUUUGUCCUGACCCUCUGGAAAUUCGUUGGGAAUACAAUGAGUUUGAAGUCGAGUGACCCAUUUCUUUUCCUUUGGAACCUUCUCUGGACAAUUGUUUCACUUGUUGUCUGCUUGCAUUCAUGGACUGUAAUUGUGAAGAAAUAACUUGAAUCUUAUUACUGACUUCAAGGCUACUCGUCUGUUUUUUCUUUGUUGGAGAGCUGACAGCAUCUGAAAACUCUCGUGGGACAUUUUUCUGCUUUCCAUCAUCAAAAUUUCUUUUAUUUCCUCUAUUUUCUUCCUCCUCUUCUGAACUAGAAUCAUAAGAAUGGCUAUUUGAGGAUUGGGCAUGACCAUAGCCUCUUGAGGUAAGGGAUCUUCCAUAUGGCUGAUGUUUAACUCUUUUCUGUUGCUUGGGCACAUAAUUGCAAUCCUGAAGUAUAUGCCCAAUUCUUCCACAUCCAAAGCAGAAUUUGGGUAAUUUUUCAUAUAAAAAAUUCAACUAGAUCAGUAUUACCCUCAGGGAAGAUUAUCCUUUAAUCCCCUCCAUUGAGGUUUAGUAAUAUCUAUUCGAACUUUCAUCCUCAUAAAGCCUCCCACUAGCUCACCUCCUUCACAUUGAGAUAUGUCUAUACAUUUGCCAAUUCUAUCUCCAAUUGACCUAGCAAGCUUCUCAGUCAUUUUUAGGGGCGGAACAUUCCAAAUUUGAACCCAGAAAUCAGCAAAUUUUAAAUUCAUCUUAGAGGGUGCCACAGUACCAUCUGGCUCCUCUAACAAAACAAGCUUUCUAUCAAAUUUCCAAGGGGUAAACUUUAAAAUAUUUUGUUUAUCCUCCAUACGUCCAAAAGUAAAUAAGAAGUGGUUACCUGGGAGUUCUUUAAUGUUUACUUCACCCUUGAUUCCUUUAAGUGAAACUAUAAUGGAACCUCCACACUUCGAAGAAUCAGUUGACUACUACAAAAAGUGAAAAAGACGACCAGAAAACAACGACGGUCUAAGUGAAAACCGUCGUGGUUUAUAAAAAGACGACGGUUCUAAAAACACCGUCGUGUAAUACAACCUUAGACAACUAAAAAAUGGAGUUUCAAAUGGCUGUUCAAAAACAACGACGUACAUAAUUAAACAACCGACGUCUAUUUGAAACAGAUUUCCUCAGUGUAAAAUCAAUGCCAACAAAGAACGGCAGAAGUUAUGAAUCGACCGACGUAGAAAGUAAAGACGACGAUUUCAAUAAAAACUGCCGUUUUUACUCAUAAAAUAAGACGACGAGGUUUUCGUAUAAGACGCCGUAUAAUUACAAACAAAUCCACGGCUUUAAAAUACAAAAUAUCGCCGUAUUAAAUUAAUUUACAACGACGGAAAAUAUAAAUAUAUCGACGUCAUUCUCGUAUAGUUCUACUACGUUAUCUUUAAAUCGUACAAUAAAAUUUAUCGUCGUAUUUAUUCAUUUUAUACGUCGUACCUUUAAUUUUAACGGUCGUCUUAAUAAGAAUUUUUGUUAACAAUUUUUUUCUUUGAUUUUCUUAUCCUACGUCGGUAGAUCUACUUAAUGACAAGAAUUGAAAUAACCACGACGGUUUAUAUAGAACACCGCCGACAUAAGCAGUUUUGUCUGAGAUCCCAAGGGUUACGAAAUCUUACCAGAUGGAACUCUGUUCCACAUCAUAAUCUUAACAGAUGACACAGAUUUGCAAAUAUUGCGUCGUGUUAGUUUACAAAUUCUAGAACAUUAAUUUCCCUCAUUUUAAAUUUCCUCGGGAAAGAAAAAUCUAUUUAUCACGCUUUGGAAUUGAAAACUAAAACUGAAAGAAUACGGGAAAAAAAACUCCAUUUAUAAUUUAAAAUUAAAAUCCACGUCGGUUGUAGUACACUUAACGACGUUUAACAAAAUAAUCUACGUCGGUAAUUAUAAAUCUACCGCCAUCGUAACUUAAUAUAGACGACGAGAAAAGACGACGGUAGAACAGAAAACCGCCGUUGUUUCAGUUUCUUUAACAUAUCUUUCUGCAGGACUUGUGUAGUUCAAAGCAUUGACAAUGUCUUCAUCAUAUCUCCCAGAAACUACUGAUUCAAUUGCUCAUGCUUUAGAGGCCAUCUGAAGCCAUUUCUAUUCUUUAUCGCAUUCUUGAAACCCAUCUUCUUCUUCUGAAGCUCUACGGAUAAAGGAAGAGGCUAUCACAAUAAAUCCGACGGAUCUUCUUAGGCAAGAAAAUCAAGCAGAGGAUCAGGCACAUCUGAUCUUCAGAUUUCCCUGAGAAGCGAACUUUCCUUCGACAGCGAGUGGAGGCCAGGCUUGCAUCUCUUUUGAUGGAAAGCAAGGAGUAUUCAGAAGCACUAAGUGUCCUAUCAGGCUUGAUCAAGGAAGUGAGAAGGCUUCUUCUUGUGGACAUAUAUUUGAUGCGAGUAAGCUCAAUUUCUCUUUGAGAAAACAUCCAAAUUAUUAUCUUUGAGACAUGAGAGACUGAGAGAGGAAGAACUUGGAACCUUAAAUGUAAACCGAAAAUGAAUGAAAGCGACAAAUUUAUAGAAUAAAUUUUUAAAACCAACGGCGGUCCUUACAAACAAACCGCCGUUUAAAUUGUAAAAUCAACGUCGGUAUUAUCGACGUAUAUUACAGAAAUCCACGUCGGUAAAUUAAUAAAAACGACGUGUUAAAUAAUAUACCAUGACGCGAGUUAUUACUUAUGUACUUUAAUUUUUGAGUUUACUACGACGGUACCUACAAACUACUGUCGUAUUUAUUUACCACGUCCGAAGUUAAAUGUACCGUCGUAUUUUGUAAUUUAUACGUCGUAGUUAUAUGUAACCGCCAUAUUAUUUUUUUGAAAUGGUUUUAUAUGUAAGCAACUUUUCGUCUACUUGACUUACACAUUUGUUGUUUUUAUAUUCUUAUUUUAUUUAAAUCUGUCAUCCAAAAAAGAAACUUUACAUAUUGCAGAAUAUUAAUUUCCUUCGUUUUAAAUUUCCUCCGGAAAAAAAACUCUAUUUAUAACGCACUGUAAUUGAAAAAUAAACUGAAAGGUCACGGGAAAAAAAAUUCUAUUCAUAAUUUAAAAAUUAAAAUCCACGUCGGUUAUAUUAAACCUAACGACGUUAAAUGAAAUGAUUCCACGUCGAAUGAAAAAUAUUGCGUCGUUUUAGUUAAAAACGACGUAGUUAAAUGUAACCGCCGUAUUAUUUUUUUGAAAUGGUUUUAUAUGUAAGCAACUUUUCGACUUACACAUGCACUGUUUCCAAACCCGAUUAAAAAUUUCAAUCUCCCAGAGAAACCUUUUCGUCUUUUUUCCUUGUCAGAGCAUUGUCAGAGUUUCUCAUCGUCUUCCUCUCGUCUUCUUCGUCGUCUCUGAACUUAAACAUCGAUCAUCUUCCUCUUGCUUUCAUUGCACGCAAAAGGUAAGCUUUCAUUUUCACUAUUUUGGUUACUGUUUUGCAUGCUCAUACGUUUUUUGUUUGAAAAAUCUUUUUACCUUUUUUCUGGCCAAAAUCAUUUUACUUCUUUCCAAGUUUGAUAAAAUAUACAGACAAAGAGAGAAAGUUUCCAACUUUGAAGACAACUACAUCAACUAAAUAAGACGACGGUAGACCACGACGGUUCGUCAGUUGUUCUAGCGUCGUCUGAAAAUUGACAAAGUUGUUUUUAAAAUAAUAGUCUUUUUUUAUAUGCUUGUUUAAUUGCAGGUUUGAUUUCGCUGAACAAUGGUUUUUGUUUUUCCCUUAUUUGAUAAAAUAUAAAGAAAAAGAAACUAGGGUUGGUAUCUAAUAUAGACGAUAAAAUAUAAAUAAUAGUUUACCACGACGGUGUAUUACUAUUGACGUCGUGUGAACAUAUAUACCACGACGUUAUAUAAAUAAUGGUUUUAAACAUUUAUUACGUCUGAGAUUAUUUCAUUGCGUCGUCUAAAAUCAUAUCAUACGUCGUAUUUUGUUAAUACCGUCGUUUGUGUUCUUAAUGUUUUCCUGAAAUAUUUUCACUUGCAGUUUUGUCUGUUAAAAUGGUUUCUCAACAACAAACUAAGGAUUCUGGCUCCAAGAAGCUUGGAAUGGUAGCUCCUCAAGAUAAGUCUUCGAAGGAGAUGAAGUCUUCGAAGAAGAUGAAGUUUGCUUCAUCAUCUGCUGAGACAGAACAAACCAGCCAGACAACAAUCUCAGAUGAUUCAAAGACUGGUCGAGGUAUGAGCACAAUGCCUCGUGUUGUGAAGAGAAAGCUUCAGAAACUGAGGCCAAUUGUUGAGUACAAUAAAAGGGGGAAAGGUGUUGGCCAAGCACAUAUUGAGAUGCAGUCGUAUAUUGGUGUGUUGGCACGCUCCAGGAUCCCACUUGUGGACAAGAAAUGGUCCCAAAUCCCCAAGGAUAUAAAGGAGCAGAUUUGGGAAGCAGUUGACAUGGCUUUUGUCGUAGGCCAAGGGGGCAAGACCUCUGUUUUAGCUUCUGCUUCCAAGAAAUGGAAGGAUUUCAAGUCUACACUAACGAGGCAUUAUAUCCUUCCAUACACCAAUGACAGGGAGAAAUUAAGCCAACCCCCUGAAACAUAUAAAUUCAUAGAGAAAGCACAAUGGGAUGCCUUUGUAGCUUCAAGGCUAUCCAAAGAUUUUGAGUCUGUGCAUUCUCAACAUGCACAGAUUAGGGAGAAACUCGAGUACAAUCAUCGAUUGUCUCGAAAAGGAUAUGCUGGAUUGGAGGAUCAAUUGGAGGAAACCAUGCCUGGGGUAGAAAUUGAUCGAUCUACCUUAUGGAAGAGAGCUAGACAGGACAAACAUGGUAACAUCCCUGAUCCAAAGGUGGCAGAGAAAGCAAAAUUAAUUGUAAGCCUACUAUCACUCUGUUUUAAAUUUUUAUUAAACUGUGAAUUAUUCUUAUUACGUCGUAUGUUAUAUUUUUCGUCGUGUGAAUGAUAUUACCACGUCGAAAAGUUUUUAAAAACGUCGUUAAAGGUCUAAAUAGGAAUCACUACUAUGUUUUCUGUAAUUACAGCAUAAGACGUCGGUGGUUCAUUUUCGCGUCGUGUGAAUGAUAUUACCACGUCGAAAAUUUUUUAAAAACGUCGUUAACGGUCUAAAUAGGAAUCACUACUCUGUUAUCUUUAAUUAUAGCAUAAGACGUCGGUUGUUUAUUCAUUUCGUCGUUUUAAAUAAAUAACCACGUCGGUAUAACUACCGUCGUGAUAAGUUAUAAUAACGUCGGUUUAUACGUUAUUGCGUCGUGUGAAAUUAUAUAAUACGUCGUUUGUACAUAAAUAACCGUCGUGUGUUUUUUUGUUUAUCUUUUUUUAGGAUGAAUUGCAGAAACAAGUCUCGGAAGGCAAAGUCAGAGUAGAUGGCAGCAAUGAUGUGCUGACCAUGGCUUUGGGCCCCGAGCAUCCAGGCAGACUGAGGGGAGUUGGUGCUGGUGUUUCCCCAAGGCAAUAUUUCAAUUUGCCCAAACCACAGAGGGUGAGCUUUGACGACCGUUUGAAGGACAGUUUAAGAGUUCUCCUUCAAGAAGAGACUAAAAAGAUGGAGGCUAAGGCAAGGGAAGAGGCCUUAAGGAUGGAGGCUAGGACAAAACAAUUGGUAGAGGCUGAGAGGGAGCAUUUCCUGAGUCAGCUUUCCCAAUUAAUUCCCAAUUUUGAUCCAAGCAUGCUUAAACCAAGAAUUAGCCAACGCCCCAAAAAUCCAAUGUCUGACAAAGCUAGCUGCUCUGGAGGUGAUGUGAGAUCCCUACAUUUGGAGGAUGAUACUGCCAAAAUGGGGAAACAUCAGCCAGAUGAAGAGAAGGAAGAAGAAAAAAGAGAUGAAGAGAAGGAAGAAGAAAAGGAGAAAGAAGAUGAAGAAAAGCAUGACGACAAGGUAUGUUCACAUAACUUUGCCUUUUUUAUUUGUUUUUCAAAAUUUCAGACGUCGAUAUUUUUAUUUAAUCCGUCGUUUGUUUAAAACUUAGACGGCGGAAUUUUUUUAAGACGUAAUAAAAUAUUUAAACGACGGUUUUUGCACCGUCGUUUAAAUGGUUUCAGACGACGCUUUAUUCAUAAAACCGUCGUCUUUAUUGAAUUACCACGACAGUUUUUUCACCGUCGUUUAAAUACUUUUAAGACGACGUUUUAUUACUUAAACCGUCGUCUUUAUUGAAUUACCACGUCAUUUUUUUUAUUUCUUUAAACAGGUUAUUGAAGUUGGUGCUUAUUCAAAAAUGGAGGCGCCAUCUUCUUUAAAAACCCUUUGUCGUUUUGUGGAAACGACACUCCUGCCUGAGGAUAAGACAGUCCAAUUUACAAUUGAUAAGGAGGUGUUUGGUGGUGAGCGCGAUACCUUCCUCCUGCCUGAAGAUAUUACACAAUUUGCAGGCAUGGAAGAAAUUGGAGCUACUGUAUUGGCUGUAUAUAUGAGGUUUGUACUUCUAAAAUAAUAACUCGUUGGUUUAUAUAUUGCGUCGUCUUAACUAACUAACCACGUCGUCUUAACUAACAACCGUCGUGAUAAAUAUAUUAUAACGUCCUCAUCUAUUUCAGUACGUCGUGUGAAAUAUUAUAAUACGUCGUUUUUUUAUACAUAACCGUCGUGUUUUGUGUGCUGACUUGUUUAUAUUAUUUUAUUUGUUUAGGUACUUACACGAUGUUUUGAAAAAAGCCAAUAUGUGCAGUAUGGUUGGCUUUAUCGACCCUGCUACAGUUAGUGCCAACUCUGGCACAAUAACUGAAAGAUCACGACUCGUAGCAGCUCGACUUCAGAAGACAGACGGUGAACAGAUUUUCAUGAUGCCUUACAAUCCAGGGUUAGUCUCCUUAGGAUUUUGUUUUUAUGAUUUUCAAUAAAUGACAGCUUAUAAACUAACCACGUCGGUGUUUUAUUUUAUUUAGUCGUUUGAAACUACUAACCACGUCGGUAUUUAUUUAUCGUCGUGAUAAAUAUAUAAUGUCGUCGUUAGCUACUUUACUUCGUCGUGUGAAAUACUAUAAUACGUCGUUUUUGUAAAUAACCGUCGUUUUUAUAUUAAUUUUGUGCAGCCGUCAUUGGAUUUUGCUGAUUGUAAGAGCAAAGAGAGAAACCGUCUAUUUUCUGGAUCCUCUGCCAGGAAAUCGUGUGGUCGAUGAAGAGGCCAAAAACAUCGUGAACAGUGCUUUAAAAAUAUAUAAUACCCACAUAGCCCGAGCAGGACGUAAAAAUGUAAUUUGGAAAACUCUCUCAGGCACACCAAAGCAACCCAGCAAUGUCGAAUGCGGGUAUUAUGUAAUGCGCUUCAUGAGGGACAUCAUCAUGGAUCCUUCCUUGGGGUUUGAGAAUAAGGUAAGAAGAAAUUACCUUCAUACAUUUCACGUCGUUUUUUGUAUUAUCAACGACGGUCGUGUAAAAUUAACGUCGUUGAAUGGAUAUACUACGUCGGUUAUGAAAAAUAUCGUCGUCUGUGAUUGAAUUUCUUUUUAUUUAUAAACCCUAAUAGUCAUUGUUUAUGCAGUAUGCCAAGGGAAACCAGGAAGCUUCAUACCCCCAAGAAGCCAUUGAUGAAGUCCGGAAUGAAUGGGCAGAGUUUGUUUUCCAAAUUAUUAAACAGGGCAAUUAUUGAACACUUGAUAUUUAUGUAUAAUGUACCAAUUUUCUCUAUAAUAUGUAAUGUAAAAAUUUGUUGAGGUUUUCUUAAAUUAAAAAAAAAACAAACAUACAAAUUGCUUAACCGACGUGUAAUACUUUUCCAACGACCUAAUAAAGUCAAUAACCGUCGUAUUUUGUUGUUGCGUGUUUUAAACAAAUACGACGUAAAAAAAUAGUUAGACGACGUUCUUUGAACAAUUGAGUCGUUAAUGGUUUACAAUAUCUUCAAUUUCUUAAGGGUUCAGGGUAUAAUCGACGACGUUUAUGUAACGACUGCGGUUAAGUCGUAAAAUAUAUAUUUUACGUCGUAUAGUUAAAUAGCCGCCAUGGUUUCUCAUUUUAACGACGUCAUUUUAACGACUUAGUAGUCUAUUACAAUUUACAACGUCUACAAUUUAUUUAACACCGACGUGGUUUGUUGUAUGGUAAGAAUAUUUUAUUAUUUUUAUAUCAAAAUAUUCAAAAUAAAUAUAAAAUAAAUCAGAAAAUUGAAAAGUCAACUCCUAUGAAGUCAUUGAUAUAUUUUCUUCCACAUAAACCUUGAAAAAAUUCAUUUUGAAUAACAAAAAUUUAAAAUGACCAUCCAAAACAAAAUUGUUUUGAUGAGUCAUAAAAUCACUUCUAGUUUUAUGGUUUAGGGUUUAGAGUCUAGGGUUUAGAGAUUAGGGUUGUUAUUUAUUGGGGUUUAUUUUUAAAGUAUAAUUUUUGGGUAGUCUAUGUUAUAUGUUAGGCUUUAAAACCAUAAAACCUUUUAUAAACUUAAUUUUUUAAAUUGUAUAAUUUAAUUUUAUGGGUUUAGUGUAUUAAUUUUUAACGACGGUGGUUGGGUCGUGGAAUACAUAUUUUACGUCGUACAGUAAAACAUACGACAUGGUUUACGCUUUAAACGACGUCAUUUUAAUAUGUAAGUCGGUUUAUAUAAUUUACAACGUUUUUAAUUUCUUAACACCGACGUGGUUUCUCAUUUUAACGACGUCAUUUUAACGACUUAGUAGUCUAUUACAAUUUACAACGUCUACAAUUUAUUUAACACCGACGUGGUUUGUUGUAUGGUAAGAAUAUUUUAUUAUUUUUAUAUCAAAAUAUUCAAAAUAAAUAUAAAAUAAAUCAGAAAAUUGAAAAGUCAACUCCUAUGAAGUCAUUGAUAUAUUUUCUUCCACAUAAACCUUGAAAAAAUUCAUUUUGAAUAACAAAAAUUUAAAAUGACCAUCCAAAACAAAAUUGUUUUGAUGAGUCAUAAAAUCACUUCUAGUUUAAUGGUUUAGGGUUUAGAGUCUAGGGUUUAGAGAUUAGUGUUGUUAUUUAUUGGGGUUUAUUUUUAAAGUAUAAUUUUUGGGUAGUCUAUGUUAUAUGUUAGGCUUUAAAACCAUAAAACCUUUUAUAAACUUAAUUUUUUAAAUUGUAUAAUUUAAUUUUAUGGGUUUAGUGUAUUAAUUUUUAACGACGGUGGUUGGGUCGUGGAAUACAUAUUUUACGUCGUACAGUAAAACAUACGACAUGGUUUACGCUUUAAACGACGUUAUUUUAAUAUGUAAGUCGGUUUAUAUAAUUUACAACGUCUUUAAUUUCUUAACACCGACGUGGUUUUUCAGUCGUCGUUAUAUAAAAAAUUCAAAAUAAAUUUAAAAUUAAUCCGAAAAAUGAACGGCCUUACGUUCUUAAUCCGAAAAAUGAAGUUUCCGUCGUGGAAUAUUAAAUUUACGUCGGUACUUGUAGAACUUUCGCCUUGGUUUUUCUUUCGACGUUUUAUAACGCGCGCGCUCUAAAAAUUUUCGCGCGACCUAAAUUUUUUUAGAUUUGGCUCUUAGUCUUAUACUUUGAUCCCUGAAACCUAAAAUUUCAGAUUUCACGCGACAUAACAUUUCGCUCUCUCACUUCUGCUCUAAUUAAAAGUUGCACUCUCCAGGCUCGUCGAAUCUGUGAGCUCGUCCAACCUGUAAGUACAAACCCUAUCUUCCCCUUGUAAAUUCAUUGAAUGAUAUUAGGUUGUUUUGUUAAAGGGUUUUAGGUAUAUGCUUUGCGAUCUGUUAAUAAUGUGCUUAUAGGUAUGGGUUCAUGGAUUUUCUGUUUAAUGGGUUCAUGACAAGAUCAAAUAAAGGUGUACUUUUGCUGGAAAUCAACACAAAAAGACACAUCACCAACUUCCAAAUGAUUUCCAGCAAAAGGACACCUUUAUUUGAUCUUGUCAUUUUCCGCUCUGGAGAAGGUGCAAAGUGCACCAAUGCUUAUAGGUAUGGGUUCAUGGAUUUUCUGUUUAAUGGGUUCAUGGAUUACAUUAUCUGUUAUGUUGAAUUGGGAAUGGAUUUAAUUUUGUCGUAUCUUUUAAUCACCCUAUGUUAUGUUGAAUUGGGAAUGGAUUUAUUGUUUUCAUGCUUGGUUUCAUGUAUAUGUUGGUUUCUUGCUUGGUUUCAUAUAUAUGUUGUGUUCUUAAUGGGUUUUGUGUUCUUGAAAAUAAACUGAGACACGACGAAUUUUAAGGCGUACGACGACGAUUACACGACGGUGUUUUUAAACUACCGUCGUUGUAUUACUUAUACACGACGGUUUUUUCAUAAACCGUCGUUUGUAUUACGUAUAAUAGACGACGUCUGUUGAAAAUCCGUCGUCUAUAUAUGCCAAAUACGUCUGUUUUUGAUUAAAACCCGUCGUCUCUGUUGUUUAUUACUUGCGAUUAGAUCAUUGUAUAAUCUGCUAUAGUGAUGGUCAUUGCCUGUAUUUUCACUUUAUUAUAGAUAAUAGGUUAUAGUGUCGAAGAUGGAUAAGUCAUGGAUGCACUCGGAUAGAAGAUCGAAGGCAUAUGAGUUUGGGGUGGAAGCAUUUUUGAACUUUGCUGUAGAAAAUCUUCUAACUACAACACAUAUCCGUUGUCCAUGUGUUAAAUGUGUUAAUUUGAAGUUGUUUGGGGUUGGAAUUAUAAGGGAUCACUUAUACUUUAAUGGAAUUGACCAAAGCUAUAAGAAUUGGACAUUUCACGGAGAACCUUGGGAAGCAACUACUAAUGCUAGCAGAAAUGUUGAAGAAGAUGAUGGCCAUAGUAGGUACAGUUUUGUGUCUGAAGAAAUUGAUAUGGAUGAUAAUGAUUUUGGUGAUUUUGGUUCGGAUCCGUAUGAGUUUGCCAAUGUGAUUGGGGAUGGAGAUCAACCAGUGUACCCUGGUUGUAGAAAGUACACGAAGUUAUCGGCAUUAGUGAAGUUGUAUAAUUUGAAGGCAAAACAUGGGAUGAGUGAUGUCUGUUUUACAGAAUUAUUGAUACUUCAAGGCGAUUUGCUUCCAGAAGGAAAUACAAUACCAACCUCCAUGUAUGAGGCUAAAAAGACUUUGUGUGCAUUGGGGCUGAGUUAUGAGAAAAUGCACGCAUGCCCCAAUGAUUGCAUCUUGUAUAGGAAGGAGUAUGAGGAUUCAACUAAUUGUCCUACUUGUGGUAUCUCAAGGUGGAAGGAAGGCAAAGAUGCAAUCUUGAAAGAGGGUGUGCCAGCGAAGGUGGUGUGGUAUUUUCCCCCAAUUCCAAGGUUUAAAAGGAUGUUUCAAUCACAUGAGACAGCUAAGAGUUUGACUUGGUGGCAUGUUGCUAGAAAAUCAAUUGACGGUCAGAUGUCUCAUCCGGCGGAUUCCCCGUCUUGGAAACUUCUUGAUGAUAAAUGGCCUGAGUUUGGUAAUGAGCCGAGAAACUUGAGAUUGGCUCUUUCAUCUGAUGGAUUCAAUCCCCACAGUUCUCUAAGUAGCAGAUAUAGUUGUUGGCCGGUUAUCUUAGUUACAUAUAAUCUCCCUCCAUGGCUGUGCAUGAAACGAAAGUUCAUGAUGUUAACCUUAUUGAUUUCCGGUCCUAAACAACCCGGAAAUGAUAUAGACGUCUACUUGGAGCCUUUGAUUGAUGAUUUAAAAUCCUUGUGGGUUGGGAUUAGAGGAGUGUAUGAUGCACAUAAUGGAGAAUACUUUACACUCAGAGCUGCAUUAAUGUGGACAAUUAAUGAUUUCCCCGCCUAUGGAAACUUAUCUGGUUGUGUUGUUAAAGGAUAUAAAGCUUGUCCAAUAUGCGGCGAUGAUACACCUAGUCACAGGUUGAAAAAUGGCCACAAAAUUUGUUACAUUGGGCAUAGAAAAUGGUUACCAAUCAAUCAUCCAUAUAGGAGGCAACGUGCAGCUUUUAAUGGGAAACCUGAAUAUGGCAUACCUCCAGAGCCAUUAACCGGAGAAGAAGUGCUGCAUAUGGUUGAAAAUGGUGACAGAGUUUGUUGGAAGAAGAAAUCAAUAUUCUUUGAUCUCGAGUAUUGGAAAUACCUUCCUGUGAGGCAUGCCCUAGAUGUUAUGCACAUUGAGAAGAAUGUUUGCGAUAGUAUCAUUGGUACAUUGCUGGAGAUCCCUGGAAAAAAUAAAGAUGGGAUUGCUGCUCGAUUAGAUUUAUUGAACAUGGGGGUCAAAACUGAUUUGCAACCCGAGUAUGGAGAAAGACGUACUCGUUUGCCUCCUGGGCCUUGGAAUUUGUCAAGAGCAGAGAAGAGAGAGGUUUGCAAUUCUUUCUAUGGUAUGAAGGUCCCUGAAGGUUAUUCUUCAAAUAUUAAAAAUCUUGUAUCUGUACAAGAUUCAAGACUUCUUGGCCUUAAAUCACAUGAUUGUCAUACCUUAAUGCAACAAUUGCUCCCUGUGGCAAUUCGUUCUGUUUUGGAGAAGCCUGCAAGGUAUGCAAUAACUCGUUUGUGCUUCUUCUUCAAUGCUAUAUGUGCAAAGACUGUUGAUGUUUCCAAGCUAGAUAAGUUGGAAGAAGAUGUAGUAGUUACUCUGUGUUUGCUUGAGAAGUACUUUCCCCCUUCAUUCUUUGAUAUCAUGGUUCAUCUAGUAGUACAUCUUGUCAGAGAAGUUCGUCUAUGUGGGCCAGUAUAUUUUAGGUGGAUGUAUCCGUUUGAAAGAUAUAUGAAAGUGCUGAAGGGGUAUGUUCAGAAUCGUACUCGUCCCGAAGGUUGCAUUGCUGAGCGGUAUAUAGCUGAAGAAGCGGUAGAGUUUUGUACUCAGCAUUUAUCUGAUGUUAGUACAGUUGGAGUGCCUUCAAGCCAAAAGAUGGGAGUUUCAAAGCCAUUAUCAGGUUGCACAGUGAGCGUAGUUGAUCAGGACCUGUUGAAUCAAGCACAUCUAUAUGUCUUGGAGAAUACGGAGGAAGUCCUACCUUAUAUCGAGUACGUAUGAGUUUUAUUCUUUAAGUUUCCAUUUAAAAUUAUUUCUUAUGUUUAUCUUAUAUAUUUGGGACCGUAAUGCUUGAAUUUUUCGUGUCAUGUAGGCAACAUAUGAUCCACAUCAAGACUGCUUAUCCAAAAUUUAGAAAGAGAACAAAGUGGCUGCAGGAUAAGCACAAUAGCACUUUCAUUCAAUGGCUACGCUUCAAGGUAUAUGUUGUUGAAUAACGUAUUUCUCUUUUAAUUUUCUUCUUAUUUAUAUGUUAGGAUGAAUUAAGAUAUGAUUAAUUUGCAGGUUCAAAGUGAAGUUGAGGAAGACAAUCAUGGCGUAUCAGAAAAUUUAAGGUGGCUAGCAGCUGGUCCAAACAUGUCAGUGCCAUUAUAUAGGAGCUAUCUUAUUAAAGGUAUUAAAUUCAAUAUCAAGGCACAAGAUGAUGUGCGGACAACUCAAAAUAGUGGAGUUUAUUUACUUGCACAUACCAUGCAAGUUGCUAGUGCCAAGGAUAAAAACCCAAUUCUCUCAAAUAUGGGUUUCUAUGGUGUCAUUCAAGAAAUUUGGGACCUUGACUACCAAAAGUUUACAAUCCCAGUCUUUAGGUGUGAUUGGAUAGAUAGUUCUGGUCUUGUAGUCGACGAACUUGGAUUUACCCUUGUAGAUUUGAGUAAAAUUGGACAUAGGAAUGACCAAUUUGUUUUGGCUUCUCAAGUCAAACAAAUAUUUUUUGUUGACGACCCGAUGCAUCGUGGUUGGUCGGUAGUGUUAUCAAUGCCUAGUAGAGAAUAUAAUGAUGUUAUUGGUGAUGAAGUAUUAGGUGAUGUGAUAAUUGAGUGUGAGCCAUUUACUAGAGGGAUGCCAAAUGUUGACACAUUUGAUGAACUGGUAGGUGAGUUAGGCGGUCAAAAUAUUCGAGAUGGGUGUGAAGAUAUAUGGAUUGAAUGAUGCUUAUGUAAUUGGCAGUGUAUGACAUUAAUUUUGUAAUAUAUUGUAAUGUGAUUUCUUCACUUUCUACGUUCAAAUAAAACACGACGUUAUUGUGAAUCAGUUAUUCAGCAUAUUUACCGACGUCUUAAAGCAACGUAACAAUGAAGAACCACGACGCUAUUGUGAAGCAAUUAUUCAGGAUAUCACGUCGGUGAAGGAUAAAGAACCGCCAUGUAAUUCAAAAUAACACGACUCCAAUCCCAUAAUACCGACGUCUAAAAAACGAGAUAUGUAAUCUGAACGUUAAAAAAUACGACGUCAUCAUACAUUUUCCACGUCGCAAGUUCUUUUAUAAACGAAGAGGAACGAAAUUAAUUCCGACGGAAAUUCAUUAUAACCGCCGUCUAAUAACAAUUAAACGACGUUAUUUGUAAUACGGCUCCCAUCAUAAUCUACGCCGUCUAUAUGUUCUGUAAUACGGCUCUCAUUUAUUUGGAACCGACGUUGUUUAGACGUUCAACGUCGUCUAUAUUAUUAAGUGCGUCGUGAGUAAUGAAUACAUAUAAAUACAACGUCGACUAUAUAAAUGUAUACGUCGUAAAUAAUGACACUGACAACUAUUUCCACGUCAUCUUUUUUAGAUAAAAUCGAAGUGGAAAAUUUAUUUCACGACGGUUUUUUGUAAAUAAGAGACGUUGUAGAACUUUAGCAGACUAAACACGUCUGUUUUUAUUGUUUUCCGACGUUGUUGUAUUUAACAACGUCUAAUAUUUAUGGUCGUUGUUUGUUUCUGAAAAUAGGACGUAUAAAUUUUUUAAUACGACUCUCAUAUAUUUGUAACUGACGUUGUUUAGUUUUUCAACGUCUACUAUAGAAACACAUACGUCGUAAAUAAUGACACUGACAACUAUUUCCACGUCAUCUUUUAUCAAAAAAUCGAAGUGGAAAAUUAAUUGUACGACGGUUGUGUUUAUAUGUGCGACGUAGUAGGUAUCAAUAACGUCGUCUUCUAAUGUAUUUAAAGACGUCAUAUUUUUUAUUGUCGUGAAAAUUAUAUUUAACGUCGGCGUAUUUUUAUUGUCGGUCGUUGUAUGUCUAUCUUGCGGCCUUGUUCUCUUAAUAUGUGUCAUAUUUUCCCUUUUUAACGACGGUCUUUUUAGAGAAUUGGUCGUCUAUUAUCAUCAUCGAUUGCUUUUUUUAGAUCUUUUGCAGUACAAAGACGUCGUUUUGUAUUUUUUGAUGACGUUGUAUUGUUUAACAACGACGGUUAUUUAGCGUCGUGGUUUAUGAGGGAAAAGAUGACGGUGGAUUCCACGACCAUUGAAAAACCAAAUACACGACGGUGAUUUACCGUCGUCUUUUUGCUUUUUUGUAGUAGUGAACAACAACAAGAACAAGCUGUCGAAAAUCCUGAGCCAGAUAAUCAUCAAGAACCAGUGCAACCGAGGAGAUCUGAUAGACCCAGAAGAUCCACAACAAAAUCAAAUUAUGUUUAUUUACAAGAAGCAGAUUUUGACAUUGGAGAUGAAGCUUGUCCAAUAAGUUUAAAGAAGCUAUGGAGAGUCAGUGGAGGGCUAAAGAGCCAAAUGUGGCCCACCAAAUUUGGCCAAAUUUUUUUUAGCCCAUGGCUGGAGAUGGCCUUAGCCCUCCAACCAGGCCAAUUGUAGCCCAGCUUUAGUCAAGGCCAAAUUUUUUUGUGUGCCCCAGGCAUGUGCUUUUCAAGAAGAGAAAUUAUCAAGCAUGGGCAAGAGCACGAAACAUCUCAUGCAAAUGCAUAUCCAAUAGUCAAUAUUAAAGGCGCGUUGACGUCAUCAAUGACGUCAGCUAGCCGUUAGGAUAUAUAUAUAUAUAUGUUAAAUAGCCUUUUUAAAUGUUAUCAACGUAUACGUGUCAUAUAUGGAAUAUUGUCUUUAAAUAGUAGUUUAACUAAAUUAAACAAUACGUAAUUGUGGAAUGUAUGAGUGUUGUACCAUAGUAUUUUCAAAAUAAUAAAAUAUGAAGGAUCCUAAAAUAUAGCCCUACAUGGCUGGAGAUGGAAAAAUUUAGCCCUACACUAUUCUUUAAAAAAUUAGUAUUUUGAAGGGCUAAAUUUAUAGCCCUGAACUACAUUUAGCCCUAUGACUGGAGAUGGCCUUAUAUGGUAUUGCUCUAUCUCGACUUUAAUUGUCUCAGCCAUUAGUAAAGAUUCAUCCUUAAUCUUCUCAAAAACCACCAGCAUGUCACUUCUCUACCUACAAAACUUUGAUUACAAUUAAUGAUUCCUCCAUGGACGGCCUAAGCAAAGUGAGAAUCCGCAGAACCAUAUUCAUUCACUGUGCUCAUUUUGUUCUCUGCUUCUGCUAAAUUAUUUGGAAAUGAAGUAGGCAAGGUGCAUUGUUACUGAUGUUAUUUAUCCGGUAGCAAAGAAGAAUGUUGAAAAAGUCUGCUCACAAAUUCUAUAUGACAUUACAAUUAUACUAAAAGCUUAAACUCAACUCAAUUCAAGUUUUUCGGCAUACAAUUAUACGUGUCCUACUGUUGUUAAAAGUUUUCCAGAGCAGCAGAAGAUGAUUAUCCAGAGCAGCAGAAGAUGAUUAUCAAUGUACAAGUAUAGGAAACUCUCAAAAUCAAAUUGAGCAUUAGAUCCUGAUUAGUGCUUCUUAAUAAGGCAUUACAUAAUCAAAUAGCAAACAUACUCACGAAUCAAAUUACAUAAGAUUCCAUGGUCUCAAAGCAAAACUCACUAAUGAUCAAAUGGCUUCAAAUAAAACUUGAGAUAGUGAUGGAAAAUAAUUAAGAUUUGCAGCCUCACACAAGAAAGCAAGGGUUCUUCUAGGCGCAACUGGGUAAAAUCUUUCCGUCUCAGACUAGAUUCUGCAUGGCAAACAACAAAAUUGAAAUGAUAAUCAAACAGAAUUUCAAUACAAAAAUAUUGUGCUAUUGAAACUAACUAUAGCAGGCUUAGUAUUUAGUCCAUGGACAAAAAUACAUGGCCUUAACAAACUUGUGGAUAACAAGAGAAUAGUUCGUACUAGAAUAGUUUAUAUGAUGCAAGUUAGGGAACUCAAGGCAUAUAUAAAAAACGAAAAAGGAAAAACAAGGAGACCCAAAAAAAGAACUUUACAUACCUCCUUCCAAAACAACUAGGACAAGCUUUCACGACACAUCCCCAGUGACGUUUCGUAAAAAUGGUAGAUCUCAGGGAUGUGUUGUACCUUUUCACGAUCCACACCUCCUUCUCGUAUGGAAUCCCUAAGUUCCGUUGAUACAUGCUCCAAUGCCAAUACUUUUAGUUCAGCGAGGUAUUGAAGACCCUGUGGCAUUGUGCUUAGUUGUGGGCAGUUAUCAAGCCAUAAAGAUUGGAGAUUUGGCAUCACCCCUUUUUCUAUAGUUAUCUUGUUCAAUAAAGGGCAUGUACACAAAUGCAAUCUCGUAAGCUUUACAAACCCUCUGCUGAAACAUAACUCUCUGCCAGCAUAUGCAUUAAGUAGUGAAAGAUUUCCCAGAUUGGGCAGUGCUUCAAUGUAAGGUAGUAAAUCUUCUUCAAUUCUAGACCAAUGCAGAUACAAAUAUGUGAGGUUCUGGAGUGAAAAGAACCAACGUGGUACAUUUUCCAAUUUGCCAACCAAAAUAACCAUUCGAAGGUGGGGAGGAGGUGAGCAUAAUUUGUUUGUUUGAAGAACUUCCUCUUCAUCGCUUGUCAUUAGAAACAAGUAGUGAAGUUGCUUCAUCUUUUGAAUUGAAGCACAUAGGUCCAUCUCGUCUCUUUCUUUUACAUUCGUAAUUCCAAUCCUUCUAAGUUGGGUCAUAUUACCCACAAGUCUAACAAUGUUUCCUUCUAAUUCAACACACGUCAAAACUUGCAAUUUCUUCAAAAUACAUAUAUUUGAUGGUGAUCUUGUCCCAUUCACAUAUCUGAAGCCAUUAGGUUCUUGAGUGUAACGGUACAUAAUUAGAUGGCGCAAGUUUUGCAACUUGGCAAUUCCACUUGGAAGUGCCUCUAUCUUUGAGUUCAUGAUAUCCAAAGUUUGAAGGUUGCGGAGCUGCCCAAUGGAUUCAGGAAGCUUCUUAAUUGGAGUUCCCCUUAAAUUUAAGUAUCUUAAAUUGAAUAAGUACGCAAGUUCUUUUGGCAGUACAUCAAUUGGAACAUAUUGCAAAUCUAGCACCCUCAACAAUAUGAAUCCAGAAGGCAAUGUAUUCGAGGAAGAGGAUGAGGACAUGUCAGUAACAAACACAAGAAAAGAACGAAGUUGUGCCAUACCAGUGCCUAGUUUAAUUUCUCCUCCAGUGGUUUGAGUUGACAAGCGGCGCACUUGAACUUCGUCCAUAACUUCUUUUCCAUCAUGUACAGCACCGAACUUUUCUUUUUCUGAUAUAGACAGAGCAAGCUCCCGCAUAAGGUCGUGCAUCUUACAUGCUUUGGACCUUCCACUUUCAUUCCUCAGAACAACAUGUAGCAUGCUACGGAAAAUGAGCUGCAUAAGAUAGCUCUCAGCAACUUCUUCUGGUGUGGCACCUUUUUCAUCUUGGACAAACCCUUCAGCUAUCCACAACCUAAUGAGCCUCUUUCUUCGAAUCAAAUAGUCUUCUGGGAAAAGGGAACAGUAUAGAAAACAGUGCUUCAAUGGGUAUGGUAAAUCAUCAAAACUAAACAACAAGAUGCUCUUCACUGGCUCUAGUAACGGAUGGUUAGUUAGAUGCCAGUUUAAGCUGUUGUAGACUCUGAUCCAUUCUAAUGACUUCUUGGAAGACAUCAGACCACCUAAAGCCAUGACUGCCAGAGGUAGGCCUUCACACUUUUCAACAAGUUCCUCAGCCAAUGAUUGAAGAUCUGGUGGACAACUUUUCUUCUGGUAAGCUGAGAAUGCUUUGCUGCUGAAUAGCGCCCAAGCAUCAUUCUUUUCGAGGGGUUGAAUGUGGUGAAUAUGACUUUGUACUCCAAAAGAAUAGGAUGCUACGUCUUCUCUUCGAGUAGUAAGCAUGAUUCAACUUCCAAACUGUGUAUUUGGGAGUGCUAUCCUCAUUUCUUUCCAAAGUUUGAUAUCCCACACAUCAUCCAAUACAACCAUAUACCUUUUAGACUCCAAGUAAUUGACCAGCACCUGUAGCAGUUCUCUGUAUGUCAUGGAAUUCAUGUCUGCAGGGACCUUUUCCAUCCUUGCUUCAUGGAAUUGCUUAAUCAAGCUUCUAAGCAAGUCGUCAGUAGCAUAAGUUUGUGAAACAGUUAGCCAAGCACAACAGUGGAAUUGUUUCUUGACCCUUUCGUCGUUGAAGGUCUUUGCAACUAAAGUCGUCUUCCCUGAUCCGCCCAUCCCCACCACAGAGAUAAGCGUUUGCUGUUGCUCUCCAUUCAUCAACCAAUUCAUCAAUAGUUGCUUCUUUCUUUCAAUCCCCACGAGCUCAUCAUCCUUAAUAAAAAGAGAAGAUUCCGCUUGGUUCCGCAUCCAUUUGCCAACAUCAUCACAAGUACUACUUGUUCCUUCUAAUCCACCGACACCAUAUCUCUGAUUCCUCUCCGGAAUGGCUUUAAUCAUUCUUGAGAUUUUCCGCAACUUCUUUGACAUUUGACGUCUGAACCAAACAUUCUGCGGAAUGCGAAUAGUAUGGUGGAGCCACCUUGCAAAUCGGCCCUUAUGACAUCCUUGCUCAUACAUGUGAUACAUGAACUCGUCAAUGAUGUCUUCAACAUCAUAGGCCAUGCCUCUGACGCUUGCAACCCACGUCUCCCCACCUUCGGUGAGUGCCUUCUUGCCCUCAAAAUCAUUUAGGAAGGCCUUCAUGCUUACAAGCUCCUGCUUGAUGUCAUCAAUUUCAUCACGAACACCAGCUAUGGAGGAUGCUUCGUUCUCAAGGAUGGUCACAAUUUUGCCGAUCAAGAAGUCUGUUGGUAAGGCCAUAUUAGCCUUGUAUCCGAACAAGCUGCUCACAAUGGUAGAACGAAUUUGAAUAUAGAAAAGGUUGAAAAAUUAGCCAAAUGAAUCAAAUGACGAUUUCAGCUGGCAGUGGAAGCUCCUCCAGUGUGCAAGAAAUUUCAGUGAUUUGAAAUUGUAUUUUGAGCCCAUCAAUUUUUCAAUAUGUAACAGACUGAGACAAAGAUGUCUUUGUGGGAAGAUGGAAAGACUGGUCUUCUGUACAUCUGCUGGUUGCAUAUGUAAUAAUGUUGGAGAUCGAAGGAGGUUGUGUUGUUUGUACUCCAGCUUGGCUGAUUACAAAAUUCCUAUAGCUUUUACUGCUGAAAGUCUUUAAUUUUUAUCAUCAAGAGUGAGUUGUAUGUUGACUUUGAAUAUUAUGCUCGAUUGCUGACUUUGAAUCCACAGAACCAUAUUCAUUCACUUUGCUCAUUUUGUUUGCUUCUUGAUAAAUUAUUUGGAAAUGGAGUAGGCAGGGUUUUCAUUUUCUCCCUGAUUUCACCAUUCCACUUGCCUUGCAUUGUUAUUAUACUCUCACGUUAUUUAUCUAUCUGGUAGCAAAUGUUGAAAAAGUCUUCAAAUUUAGUAGCAAAGAAUGAAUUGUCAAUUGCUCACGAAUCAUAUUAAAAGCUUAAACUCAUAACUCAAUUUAAAAGGCAAUAUAUUUUCAUAGAAGCAGCUCAUUACAUGCUUGAAAGUUGGAAGGAUGGAGUGGACUUGCACGUUAGAGAACCCCAACAAAUAUUUAAACCACCCACAUGUCCCAUAUAGUAAUACAAGUGAGGGAAUAUUUGCAAUUUGGUGUGAUUAAGAAAAGAUUUCUAAUUUCUUUAAUGGGUUAUUUACAGUAACACCCUCCACGAGGGUUCAAAAAUUAUAACACCACCCUUUAGGAAUGAGUUGUGUCUCAAUAUAGGCUUCGGAAAGCUUACACAUUUGGAGUUGCUUAGAGUCUGUCUUUAACGUUUUCAUAUAAUGUUUUUAGAGAAUACUUUUUUAAAAUGAAAACAAGAAAACAAAUUUGCAUUUCAAAAUUCGAGCUACAAAAAGCAAGCUAAAUCCGUGUAUAAGUUCGCAAGCUGCAUAAUGCAUGUAUGGUUAAUUUAUUUGAUAAUCAUAUUUCAGUUUCGUUGUAAUAUCUGUUGCAGAAUCAAAUUGUAGAAGUACUGAUCUUCUUUUCUUUCUUCUUGUUAAUCAAAGCCGCCAUGUUGAUAAUGUUGGAGACUGAAGGUUUUUCACCCAAGCAGCCAUAUGUUGUGCUGUUUGAACUUUUUUUUUUAUUUGAUGGGGUGCUGUUUUAUUUACUUAUGUAUUUUAACAGGUGGGGUGUUGUUUUAUUCAGUAGCGACGUUUUUGUCAUCCUUCCAGAGAUUGUUGACAAAUAUUUGGUCAGGCGAGAAGACAAGUUCUUCAUGGACUUGCAGCAAUUAAUUGUAUUUGUUUUGUGAAUUUUCAUAUCCUGGUAAGAUAUAAUAUCCAGCCAAUAAAGCUAGACUUGAUGAGGUCUUUUUAUUUAUCAAACAAUGUGUCAAACUGUCAAGAUACGUCAUUCUCAUACAGAGCAGUGCGCCAAAUAGAUCUCAAUUCAUAUAUGGUGGUCCUUGUUUAACUCGGAAAAAGGCAAAGUCAUUUGUGUAACAGAAACAACAUGCUAGUACAAGGGAAUUUCUAAGAGUCUCGAACAUGAGCAAAAUUCAGUCAGUUCCUUCUCAAAGGUGUCCUUAAACAUUUCAGACAAAGUAAAUUAUAAAGAUCCUUACCAUAGGACCUGAUAGUGUUACAUAGAUCCAACGAUACUUGACAAUGGAACAUGGUAGUGGCGGCAAUGCAAAAGGGAAAAGAUCACAUAUGACACUAUGUUUAGA